Prunus avium (sweet cherry) is the source of this 387-nucleotide non-coding RNA. NCBI's taxonomy places the organism in Eukaryota, Viridiplantae, Streptophyta, Magnoliopsida, Rosales, Rosaceae. The record is from RefSeq and is a predicted model, not a curated record.
CUUGGACUUUAGACCUAGUUUUGUGCCUAAAACGAGCAGUGAUUUCCUUAAGGAGGUUUCAAUGAUCGGUAAUGUGUCCGAGAGGCUGUCCAAGCUUGACGAUUUUGUUAAGCGAUUGGAGGGAAGAGAUGAGGAAGAUCGAUGCCUUCAAGUGCGAGCUUCCUCUUUGCAUGUUUCCCUUGAAUGAUGCGAUUCUAACUCUGAAGGAAGCUGCAAAAUGCAAUGUGCAGCACCAAAUGUUCAAAAAGAAUUGUGAAAAAAAACAAUGGAGGAAGAGGAACCAAUAACAAUAAGAAAGAAAAGGACUGUAGAGAUAAGAAGAAUUGGAUGAGCUCUGUCCUACUUUAGAACACUGAUAAUUAUUAACAUCCCUCUAGUGAUUUCCCA